RNAcentral lists this long non-coding RNA (10782 nucleotides) under Gossypium barbadense (sea-island cotton). Its description in RNAcentral is "long non-coding RNA (GBAR_LNC004476)". The record is from RNAcentral. Lineage: Eukaryota; Viridiplantae; Streptophyta; Magnoliopsida; Malvales; Malvaceae.
UUUAAAUCAUACAAAAUAUACUUCCAAAUUCUACCUAAAUGGUCAAAUACAUAUGAGACUUUGUGCCUAAAACUUAGCACGCAUACACAUCUCAAUUCCAAUCAUUUAGUACCAAAACACAAUUUCACAAACAAGGCAUUCAUAUAACCUCUAUACACCACAUAACAUAAGGACAUUUAUACAUAUACACAUAUCAAAAUAUAUGACCACUUUACAAGUAAACUCAAAUGGUCAAAACUCAACAAGACAUAUAGGCCACAUUAGCCAACAUACCUAUACAUGCCAUUUAACCAAAAUAUAUAGAGUCCAAAGUACCAAAAUAAGUUUUUGAUAGUGUAAUGCGAUCCUUGACGUCUUUCAAUCCGAACGAGCUUCCGAGACACUAAAAAAACAUGAAAAAAUAAACGGAGUAAGCAAUUAAGCUUAGUAAAUUCGUAAUACGUAGAAUUAAACUUACCAUAUAACCACAAUUUUAGGCAAGUAACUCAAUUCAAUUUGGCCAAAGCCUAUCAUAUAGCCAUUCACCAAAUUAGUCAUGCAUACAUAUAAAACCGAGAAUCAUGCAUGAAUUCAACAAUUACUGGAAUUCCAUGUACUUGUAACAUUUUUACCACAUAUCUAUAUAUAAAAUAUAUAAAUCAUCUCUAUGUAACUACCUGCAAUAUUUCACAUCUAACUUAUAUAACCUCGUAAUACACUACACCCGUUGAACCACUUAGAAUCUCAUUAGAUACGCGGGUAAUACACACGAGGUGUGCUGGACUAUAAUCUGUAAAUUCCUGAACAUGUAGGCUCAUACGAGCGAUAAACGGUAAGCUCCUCCGAGCUGAAUAUCGGUAAGCUCAUACAAGCUGUGGUGAGUCCACAACACAUGCAAGACUUCAACCAAAAUGGUAACCCUAAUGACAUGUCAUUUGUAUCCUACGAAUUCUUAAGGUUCAACAGGGCUCGGUAUUUCUCCGUACUUCAUCAGUUAUGCAUUCGAUAAUUUAUACAUCAUAAUUACACAAUUUAGUACAUAUAUUUUUAAUUAAAGUAUAUAAAUACACAAUUUAAUUUUAUGAACUUACCUCAAACUAGUAUGACAGAAAAUGAUCGUUUAUUCGAUAACUUUGUCCUUUCCCUAAUCUAAUUCCUUUCGUUGCUUUUCUUGAUCUAUAUAAUCAAAUUAACUAUUUUAAUCAUUAUUCUAUUAAAUUAAAUCCAAAAAUUCAGGUUUUGACAAAAUUACUAUUUUCCCCUAUACUUUUAACCUUUUUACAAUUUAGUCCCUAGGCUCGUAAAAUGAUAUUCAUGAAAUUUGACCCUUAACCAAGCCUAGCCAAAAUUUCAUAUACACUUAUAUCAGCCCAUACAAUCCAAAAUUUCACACAUUUAACACACAAUUUUCAUAUUUCACAAUUUAACCCCUAAAUGGUAAUUUUAUUAAAAAUCCCUUAACAAAAGUUGUUUAAUUAACAACAAAGACUCAUUUUAUUCCAAUAAAAUUCUAAACCCUAACAUAUGCAUCAAUUAUAAAACCCUAGGCUUUCAACCAUUUUACAAAUUAGUCCCCUAUUUAGCUAGAUUAAGCUACAAAGAUACCAAAAAUGUAAAAAUCAACAAAAAUGAGACAAUGAAUCACUUACAUGCAAAGAGAAAGCUUGAAUAAAAUCUCUUCUCCCCUCAUAUGGUGAUAUUCAGCCAACACCAAAAGAAAUGGGAGAAAGAUGAUAGCUAUUUGUUUUACUAAUUUGGCCUUUAAUUACCUAAUUACCUUUUUGCCCUUACCUAACUUUAAAAUUUUCAUAAAUACCAAGCCAUGCUCAUCCAAUAACUCAAAUAAUGGUUCAAUUACCACAAAAGGACUUUCACUUUAAGGUUCUAUAGCUAUUUAACACUUUUAGCUAAUAGAACACAACUUUCGCUCUUUACGCGACUCAGUCCUUUUUCACAAAUUGAGCAUACAAAUGGUAAAAUUUCUUAACAAAAUUUUUAUAACAUAAUUCUAACAUGCUGUAGAUAUUAAAAUAAUUUUAAAAUAUUUUUUUCAACUUCGGAUUUGUGAUCCCAAAACCACUAUUUUGAUUUCACUAAAAACGGACUGUUACACCUACACAUCUAUCCGCUACAUACAACGAGUUCUCCAAAAUGCUUCACCUGAACACCAAAAAUAGCAAGAGUCGAAGGAAAGAAAUCGACGUUAGAUCUUAUAUAUAUACAACACUUACACUACUCGAUUCAGAUCUGUGAUGAUUGGAAUGUAGAACUGACAAUAAAUAAAAGGAAAGGAAAGGUGAUUGAGGAGCUUUAAGGGGAGAAAAUGGUGUGAAAAAUGGGCAGUAACUAUUCAACUAACAAUUGAUGGUAGAUGCGGCCAUAUCAGAUCUGUGAUGAUUGGAAUGUAGAACUGACAAUAAAUAAAAGGAAAGGAAAGGUGAUUGAGGAGCUUUAAGGGGAGAAAAUGGUGUGAAAAAUGGGCAGUAACUAUUCAACUAACAAUUGAUGGUAGAUGCGGCCAUAACAAAGAAAGAUAAACAAAGAGAGAGUGGAAGGUUUCCAAUGGACAGCGACAAGAAUAGUGGUUGUUCACUUGGGAGGUGUCAACAAUGGAAGGAAAAAGAAGAAUAUGGAAGGAAAUUAGGACUUAGGAGCGGUACAAUGAAAAAGAAAGGGAAAGUAAAUUCACGGAAGAGAGGGAGAAAAAUGGGUGGGACGGUAGAGAGGGUGAACAAAAAGAGGCUGAAAUGAAAAGAAAAAUACAUUUAAUACCUAGGGUUACAAUAUGGGGUGACAAUUGCUAGGGUUUUGGGAAAAAAACUGAAAAUAAAAAUUAUGCAAAAGAGGGGGAAUUGAACUCAAGUCUCAAGAACAUUUUACUAACUCUUAACCAUCUAACCAAUAACUUAAUCUUGCUAUAAUAAUGCAAUGUUAAUAAUAAAAAUUCAGGAUGUGACAAAUUCUCUUUUGUUUAAUGCUUGAAUAUCUCUCACUUGAGUAUUGAAAUGUUCUUGAUGAGUAUUUAUACAAAUUGUUUAUAGUUGUUAGGUUUUUUUGGAGCCAUUUGGAACAUUAGUUUUGGGUUCAAAAAGUGUUCCUGUUGCUUAUGUUUCAAUGCUAAAAAGUAUGUAUUGGUACAUCUCAUAAAAAAUAGUCAUUAGAAAAUUCUCGUACACGAACAUAGCUCAUUUUCUGAUACAAAAUGUAUAGGAACAUAUAUAUGUUUUGAUACCUUUCAAGUCAAUAGCUUACGGAUUCUUUAUGUUCUGAUACAUUUGAAUAUGUAUCGAAACUAGGUUAUAGGUUUUUAUAAAUCAAUUUAAAUACCUUAGAACACUUUGGUAUUGAUUCAAAAUAUUUAGAAAAUUUAAAACAUGUUUGAAACAUGUUUUUGAGUACUUUGUAAGUCUUUAAAAAUGUUUGAUAAAAAUUUCAACCAUAUUUUCUCCAAAUGACUUAAGAAAUAUAAUAUACAAAAUUUGUCUUAAAUGUUAUUAUAUGAAAAACUUGGGAUAUCAAAGCUAACAAUAUUGAUUUCUCAAUAUAAAUGAUAUGAAACUAAUUUCUAUUCCUUACAGAUUUCGUAAUAUUGAUAAUUUCAAUCAUAAAAAUAGUAAACUCGCCAUUGUUACACAUUAAAUUAUAAAGUGUAAUGGUGACAAAUUUUUUGUAACAAAAGGUAAAUUUUAUCAUGACAAAUAUUUUUUUAUCCCUCACAAUGGUGAUUAAUAAUAUAGACUACUAGAUAUAUUAUCACUAUUACAUCAUUUUUGAGGAAAAACUUGGUGUUGAUUUUCAGCAGUGAAGAAUUGAGUUAGUCACAAUUACACGCAAUGGGGAUUUAUUUGUGAAAUAAUUUGAACUGUCAUAAUUAUUGUCAUAAUAGCAAUAAAUAUAAAUAAAUCACAAUGACUUACUUUACUAUUGUAAGAGAUAGAAGUUGUCACAAAUAAUUUAAUAUUUGUUGCUAAAUCUUUCAUGAUCAUAAUUAAAAAUCUUAAUGCUAUAGUGGGUAGGAGUAUCACUUUUUUUCAUAUGUUUAAUAUAUGAAUUAAUAAUAAAUUGAUAAAUUUUUAAUCACUCACAUAAUUUAUCUAUUGUAAAGAGAAUGAUUUUUUAUUUUAUUUUUCUAAACAUAUUUUAUUUUCUACAAGAGUUAUACUCAUCUUUCUAAUUUUAAAUUUAAUUUAUAUUAAUUAUUUUUUUAUUUUAUGUCUAAAUUUUUUAACACAUAUGUACUAAAAUAUUUUUUAUGGUACAAAAUGUGUCAAAAUUAUUAAAAUUUUUACGUGUGAGAAUAGUGAGAAAAUUAAAUAGAAUUUUGCACAUAAAAUACUAUUUAUGUAAAUGUUUUAGGCUCUCUCACAUUUACAUUUUCUUCAAUAACACAGCAAUCAAACCCAAAAAGAAAACAUUAUCGUAUUUUUCACAAAAUUCAUUCUCGUGUGAUGCAUGAAUUUAUUAUAUUUUUUGAUUAAAUAUAUUAAAUAAUUAUUUACUUCAUAAUGUUGAGAAGCAUUAUCUUUCUUAAUUUAAAUACUCUGUUUCCUUACAUAUAUGUAAACCUAAUGCUUGGAAUUAUUAUAUUUAAUAAGUAAAAUAUAUUAAAUAAUUAUUAAUUUCAUAAUAGUAGGAAAAAGACAUUAUAUUUUUUUAGCAUACAUAUGAUAUAUGAUAUAUAUAAUCAACAAAAAUAAAAAAUUACUUCUUUUUUCUUGUUUUUUAUUCGAUGAUUUCUAUAAAAAUACAUGUUAUAUUUUAUAUUUGAUUUUUUAAUUAAUUUACAUUAAAUAUUAUAUAAUGUGAUUAAAUUAAACUAAAAUUUUAUAAAAUUAAGUUAAUAGUGAGACCUAUAAUUGUAAGCUAAUACUUAAAUUUAAAUAAGUAAUUUAAAACUCGAGUUUUUGUAAAAUGUUCAUGUUCAUUACUUUUUUUUCUCAUUUGUUGUAUGAUAAAUUCAACAAAAAUAAAUGUUAUAUGCAUAUUUAAUCCUUAAAUUAAAUUAAUGAUUGUAUAAUAUAAUUAAAUUAAGUUAAUAAUAAUUAUAGGUUUAUAAUGAAUCAACUAUUUUAAGAAUUCAAAAAAUUAAUCUAGAAUUCAAAAUUUGUUAUGUUAUUUUCUAAUAUUUGAUCACAAUCAAAUCUUUGGUUAAGAAAAUUUUAAAACAAAGAUAAAAUAAGGCCAAAAGUGCUCUCCAUAGUGUCCUAGAGAGAGUGGUAACUGCCGCAGCUUAGGAUGGAGGAGGGUGCUGGCGAGAAGAGGGAAAGCAAUGAGGAGAUAUCCUUGCAUGCAAAAGAACUCAUUCAAUUAUGAGUAAAGAGUUCAAUGGUGAUGCCAAACGAUAAAUCGACUUCGAUCUUCUUAGUUUGGACAAAAAAGUCUUUCAAUCCAGAAAGCUUUAGGACACAGAUGAAAAGCAUAUGGAAAACAAAGAAAAAGUUUGAGAUUCAAUUGGCAGGACAAAAUCUGUUCUUAUUUGUUUUUGAUCUAGAAGAAGAUUUGGAGACAGUUUUGGAAGGAAGACCCUGGUUAUUUCGUAAGAACAUUAUUCUAUUUGAUCGACUGACUAGAUCGAUUGCGAGAGAUUAGAUUUGUCUUAUUCAUUCACCGUUCUGGAUCAAAAUUGGUACGUACUUACCAGAAUUUGAUAGGAAGGAUUUAAUGCAUGCUAUAGGCAGUACUUUUGGGGGAAUUUUGAGGUCUGAAAUUAAUGGUGAUAAUUGUAGACUUAGUUAACCUGAAUGUACAGAAACCUCUUUGGAGAGGGAUUUUUGUCUUAAGUGAUAACAGGGUAAAAUCGUGGAUUUCUUUCAAAUAUGAGAAAUUGCCGAUUUUCUGUUUCAGGUACAGUAGAAUGGGGCAUAGUCUCACUGACAAAAUUAAAUGAUCCACCAUACUCUAUAGCAUUGAAAACCGAAUCAAAUUUGGCAGGGAAGGAGAGUAUAAAAUUAAAUGCUUUUGCAAAAAGACGGGUACUCAAGCUUCUUACAUAGGUACAAUGGUAAAAGAACCAGAUGAUAAUGACAUGGCUGCAGAAUAUAUAGUUUUGCAAGGAGAGGUAAUAGGCGGAAGGCAAUUGGCAAGCUGGUUGGAAGGGUUACAGGAACAGGAGUCAGGUUGUAAUAAGUUGGAGAUUGGCGCGGUGAAUGCUAGCAAUAUGGAGAUGGGCAGAUCUCUAGUCGCACUUAAGAAGUCUAGUUGGAGAAGAUUAAUUCCAGCAAAUCAGUCUGAAAACUGGAGGUAAGAAAGUUUGGGGGGGAAUAGAAAAUUUCCAGAAUUGGCUGAUGGAAAAAACGAUACAGAAGUGUCAGAUGGGGAUGGAGUAAAGAGGUUGAAAGUGGAAUAGCUAGCGGUUAGAAGAGAGGCUCAAAGCUGUAAAAUGAUGGAUGUUACAGUAUAUAAUGUGAUGCCAAGUGAAUUAGGAUCGGCGGCUACCAACAAGUCAGCCUACUGGACACAAUGAAAAACUUAUGCUGGAAUGUCUGUGGAUUGGGGAGUCCACGAGUAGUACGGAGGCUGCGGCAUUUAUUUAAGCAGCAUAAUCCCCAUAUGGUCUUCUUAAUGGAGACGAAAUUAGACAAAAAAACGUAUGGAAAAAGUUAGAAGGAGCUGUGGUUUUUUUAGUAGAAUUGAAGUAGAAGCAGAGAGGAUUCGUGGAGGAUUGUGUUUAGCAUGGAAGAGUGACGUCAAGGUAAAUGUACAGAGCUUUUCUAAGUGGCAGAUUGAUGUUCUGAUUCAGGAGAAUGAUAGCCAAGAAGAGUAGAGAUUUACGGGGUUCUAUGAUUCACCAUAUCUAAAAAACAAGAGUAACGUAUGGGAUUUGCUCAGAAGAUUAGGCCUAGAAGAUAAUCAUCCCUGGCUUGUUGCUGGAGAUUUCAACGAAAUUUUGUAUUCUUUAAAGAAAUCUGGGGGAGUUCAAAGAGAUCAGAGGAGGAUGGAGGCAUUUAGGGAGGUUUUGGAGGAGUGUCAAUUAAUGGAUAUUGGUUACAUGGGGGUUUGGUUUACUUGGGAGAGAGGUAAUAUGCCAGAAACAAACAUAAGGGAGAGGCUGGAUAGAGGGGUCGCAAAUGAAAAGUUGUUAACUUUAUUUCCAAUGGGCAGUAUACAACAUCUUCCUUAUUUAACAUCAGAUCACUGUCCCAUUCUCCUUAAUACAGAAAGUGACAAUACUGCCAAAAGAAGUCAAAGAUUUCAUUUUGAGGCCUGGUGGACCGUAGAGGAGACAAUCGAACUCGUAAUCAAGGAAUCUUGGGAGUCUACUACAGGUCCGUUAAUUGAGAAACUAGAAGGAUUACAAGCUCGAUUGGAAAUAUGGGCAAGCAACAUUAAAAGGAAAAAGGUAGAGUCUGAAAAGGAAGUUAACCAAGGAGCUCAACAGUUUGGUAGAGAAGGAAAGGGAUGAUGAAACGCUAGCACGGAUUAUCGACACAAAAAUCCACCUUAAUAUGGAGAUAGAUAAAGGCUAAUUGUACUGGGAGCAACGAGCCAGAUACAUUUGGCUCUAAUUUGGGGUUAGAAUUACGGCCUAUUUCCAUAAAAUUGCGUCAGCUCAUAGGAGAGCUAACACAAUUUCUAAGCUGGUUUCGGAUGCCGAGAGGGAAAUUACGAAUGAGCUAGAGACUAAUGAGAAUGCCACUUGGUUUUUUUAAGAGCUCUUCACAACAACGGCAAGUGGUGACCCAAGUCAUUUGCUAACAUGCAUUGAUGGUAGCAUCUCUCACAAGGAGAAUGAAUUCUUAUUAUCUCCAUUUAGAGAAGAAGAGAUUUGGAUGGCAUUAAAAGGGAUGGGGCCCACCAAAGCACUAGGACCGGAUGGGUUUCCAGCAAUGGUUUUUCAAAAGUAUUAGCAUAUUGUAGGUAAGGAUAUCAUUGAUUUCUGUUUGGGGAUUCUGAAUAAUAACAAAGAGGUGGCGUCAUUGAAUAACACGAACAUUAUGCUUAUUCCAAAACUUCCAAAUCCCACUAAACUUGCGAAUUUCAGACCCAUCAGCCUAUGCACAUUCAUGUACAAAAUCGUGGCAAAAACGCAAGAGGUCAUUGGUAAACGUGUUGACAAGGUACAGAGUGCUUUUGUCCUGGGAGACUCAUCUCAGACAAUGUGAUUUUAGCUUAUGAAUUUUUUCACACUUUCCGACAAAACCGUACAGGGAAAAAAAGAUUUAUGGCAGUGAAGCUGGACAUGAGUAAGGCAUAUGACAGAGUUGAGUGAAAUUUUAUAAAAGAAAUAAUGUUAAAAAUGAGGUUUGCAAGCGAAUGAGUCAGACUCAUAAUGAGAUGCAUUACAACAGUCUCUUACGCAGUUAAUAUUAAUGGUUAGAGGGGGUAGGCUUUUUCAACCGACUAGGGGGCUACGACAAGGUGACCCACUAAGUCUGUUUCUUUUUCUUAUAUGCAGUGAGGGUCAUUCAUUGUUGUUGAGAAUCGCGAAGCAUGAGAACGGUUGAAGGGCGUAAAAGUUAGUAGGAGAGGGCCAGAGCUAACUCACUUAUUAUUCGCAGAUGAUUGCAUGAUGUUUGGUGAAGCAACACUAAAGGGGGCAAUAAUUCUAAAGGAUAUACUCAAGGAAAAUGAAAGCUGUUCAGGUCAAUGUGUGAACUUUGGAAAAUCAACGAUUUUUUAUAGUUCGAUUACUACAGAUGACAGAAAAGAAGAAGUGUCUUCAUUGCUAGGAGUUAGGAUCUCACCAAAUCCAGAAAAGUACCUGGGACUUCCCAAUGUGGUUGGUACACGGAAAAAAGAGUCGUUUCAGAAUUUAUUGGACAAAGUAUCCGUGCGAUUGGAAGGUUAGAGCACUAGAUUUUUGUCCCAAUGGGGCAAGGAGGUAUUUAUCAAAUUAGUAUUAUAGGCUGUACCAACAUAUACUAUGUCCUAUUUUCUCCUACCUAACACUUUAUGUGGGAGGUUUGAAAGCAUUUUCACUAAGUUUUGGUGGCAAAAAGGGUUUGGGAAGAGAGGAAUCCAUUGGUGUCAGUGGAAACAUUUGUGUCGACCUAAAAAUGGAGGAGGAUUGGGGUUUAGGAAUAUGGCCCAAUUCAACAUAGCUCUUUUGGCAAAACAAGGAUGGAGACUCCUAGUUAAUCCAAAUUCAUUAGUUGCGCAAGUUUUGAAAGCAAAGUAUUUUACAGAAAAUGAUUUUAUUAAUUCGAGGUUGGGGAAUCAGAGUUUGUAUGCAUAGUGCAGUAUAUGGGCGGCGAAGGGUUUAUUGGAGAAAGGCCUAAUUUGGAAGGUUGGUACGGGUACUAGUAUUUCAAUUAGAAAUGAUAUAUGGAUUCCAGAUUUUAGGAGUUUAAGGUUAUCGACCGUUAAUGGUGAUUUGCGUGUUGAUUUAGUUGCUGAGCUAAUCAAUAAUAAUGAAAGAAAUUGGAGUAGAGAACUGAUAGCCAAUACCUUCCCAGAAGAAGUAGCUGAACUGAUCCUUCAUAUCCCUUUGGCGAUGGAACCUCAUAGUGAUUUUCUGGCUUGGACCGGAGAACCUUCAGGAGAGUAUACAGUUCGGAGCGCCUACAAACUAUUACAAAGUGGGGAUCCUAGAGCUUAUGCUGUACAGAACGUCUAUAGUGGUUUUUACAAAAAAAACUUUGGUGCCUAGAUCUACCUACUAAGAUUAAAAUUACAAUUUGGAAAAUUACUUGGAACUAUCUGCCUACUCGGGUAAACAUGCAACUUAGGAGACCAGCAAACAACACAACAUGCUCUCGAUGUGGUGUGGAAGUAGAAACAAUGGAUCACCUGUUUCGCAAAUGCUAUGUGUCAGUGGCAGUGUGGGAAACACUGCCUGUAUUUAAUUUUACACAGUGAACCUAGAGUUUGAGUAGUGGCUUACCUAAGUGUUUGACUCUCUCUCAUGAUCAGUGUAGAAUUUUCUGUAGUGCGCUUUGGGUCAUUUGUGGAGACCGAAACGCUCGGAUACAUGAAAACACAAACAGACCAGGUCAGGAGAUAGCAAAAUAUGUUCCAAGUUACCUACAAGAACUGAAGGGGGCUGGUAGAAAUACCCAUAUUACUCCUAAUGUUGAAAUUAAGUGGACUCAUCCAUCUGGGUAGGCUGUUAAAAUAAAAUUUGACGGGGAUUUUAACGAGAGGAAUCACCAAUCGGCGUCAGGAAUUGUGGUCAGAGACAGUAAGGGCCUCGUUAUCAUUUCUUGUUCAGAACUCCACAGAGGGGUGGCUUCUCUUCUUGCUGCGGAAGCUCUAGCUUGUCGAAGGGCUACCCAGAUUGGCCUCGAAAUGCAAAGAUCAGAAGCCAUUAUAGAAGGUGAUUCACUAUCGAUAAUAAAGAAAUGCAAGGAAAUAAAGCUAGAUAAAUCGCAAAUAGGGGCUUACAUUCACGAUAUUCAAGAGAUGAAGUCUAGAGCCCGUAAGUUAAGAUUUGAGUAUAUCCCAAGAUCAGCGAAUGGUCUAGCCCAUAUUUUAACAACAGAAUCGCUGAAGAGGAAAGAAGAGAUGUAUCUGAUUGAAAGUUUACCAGGUUAUGCAGAAGGUCUGAUGAGAAGGGAGAGGGUAAAAGAACCAGAUUGAAGAAAUAAAGAGAAGGAAGAAAGGGGAAGAGUCUCAAAACAAAACAGAUCAGUAGUCUUUGUGAUAAGACCCCCUUGGGAACUGACGUCGCCAUUAAAGAUAGAAGUGACAGAUGAGAUGGAAAGUCAGGCGUCAGAAUAUCUGAUUGGGCAAGUAGGCAGUGGCUUAAAUGACUUCUUUAGAUUUUUCUCUUAGAAGUAGAUCUGUUUUUUUUUCUUGUUAAUGAUUUAUUUAGUUUCUUUUCAAAGUGGAUUGGUUUUUUCACGGGCCAAAUUUUGUCUUGGG